UGAUGUGAGUGUGAUUGACUGAGACAUUUGUCACCCCACUGAUUACUAGUGGCCGGCUAGGCAGACAUCUUCUUCUUCUUCUCUUACCCCUCCAAGUCCAUCCCAUCCAAAGCUGCAGGCUUAGCUGAAGAGGAAAGAUCUUCCUAGAUAGAGCAGGGACCUUUUUGGGCCCAGGGUAUACCAGGAGAUACAUUCGUCAGCUAGAACCUCCAGACUAGCUCUCAAGGUCCAAAAGUUUUUGGGAAUUCAAUUCAGGCAGUGAACAGUGUGGGGUGAAUCCCCACUCCUU
Molecule: unclassified non-coding RNA, 289 nt
Organism: Mesocricetus auratus (golden hamster)
Lineage: Eukaryota; Metazoa; Chordata; Mammalia; Rodentia; Cricetidae
Gene: 7SK
Rfam family: 7SK RNA
About the family: 7SK was discovered as an abundant small nuclear RNA in the mid-70s but a possible function has only recently been suggested. Two independent studies have found that 7SK RNA binds the CDK9/cyclin T complex (known as elongation factor P-TEFb).
Source: Ensembl